RNAcentral lists this transfer RNA (69 nucleotides) under unidentified. RNAcentral's name for it is "Linoclostis gonatias tRNA-Leu". The record is from RNAcentral.
AUUAUUUUGGCAGAGAAGAUGUGAUGGAUUUAGAAUUCAUUUAUAUAUAUAAUUAUUAUAUAAAUAAUA